AUCUACCUAUCUACCUAUCUACCUAUCCAUUUAUAUAUGUAUUUUUUUUUCUUUUUUUUACUAAAUAGAAAUUGUUUACAUGGUAACUAACAAAGAAGUGCGUUUAUUAUUUGGGAAAUGUUUAUUAUGUUUUUGUGAACUGAAUAUAAAAGAAGAUGAAUUUAUAACAAACGUUAAAGUUAAUAUUUUGAUCUUUCUUUUAUGGAAAAGUUGUUCUACAGAGGGUAGAGCUGCUGAUAUAAGCAAACUAAACAAAUAUAAAGAAUUUUGUCAUUUUGUAAAGUGGGGAGAUACAGAUAGACAGACCAAAGCGUUUUAUGCUUUAUGUUCUUAUUCAUUAAAUGUCACUAAAUUUUUAAACAAUGCUGAUGGAAAAAGCUUUUUAUCAUAUGUAUGGUCACAGAAUGAAACCAUAGCUAGCCAUCUCAUUUAUAAAGUACUUAAACGAUCGAGUCAUGUAUCUUAUGAGAAAGUCGAACAUUAUUCUCAAAUUAUUUAUGCAACCUGGAAGAACUGUACUGGUCCUAUGCAAAAUAUAAUGGAAGGCCAAGUAGAGAUGUUUGCCCAUGCAGCUUUAAAAUCCCCAUUUAAAAUAGCAUCACGUUUUAGACAUAUGCUCAACACAUUUCAUCAAAAUAAGGGGUAAU
RNAcentral lists this long non-coding RNA (647 nucleotides) under Piliocolobus tephrosceles (Ugandan red Colobus). Its description in RNAcentral is "lncRNA (ENSPTEG00000011764.1)". Lineage: Eukaryota; Metazoa; Chordata; Mammalia; Primates; Cercopithecidae. The record is from RNAcentral.